UUAAUGGUUCAUUAACUAAAGAAUUAUAUAGUAUGUUAAAUGAAAAUUGUAUUGAUAAAAUAAAAAAAAAAGAAACAAAUGAAUAUAAAAAUAAACAAAAAACAGAAAAUAAUUUAAAUAUUGAAUUUUAUAGUAAUAACAAUCACGAUUUUGGUUCUAAAUAUAAUUAUAAGGAUGUUUUAAAUCUUUUAAAACAUCAGAGAGAACCACAUUAUUCAUUAAACGAAACAAUCAUAAAUGAAACAAUAUGUAUUUUAGAAAAGUGUGAUCUUAAAAAAAGAGGUUAUUAGUAGUAAAUCUCAUUCAACAGAUGAAACAUUAAAUAUGAAUAAAAACAAUUCCUCAAAUUUUAAUGUUGAUUCAUCUGAUACAAAUUGUAUGAAAAAAUUACUAUCUGAAACAUUUAACACAACUUUGAAUGAAAAAAAAAAAAAAAAAAAAAAAAAAAAAAAAAAAAAAAAAAAAAAAAAAGGAAAAAAAAAAAAAAAAAAAAAAAAAAAAAGAUUCUAGUAACAAUGGUGAUAAUAUUGUUGAUAGUAUUGGUGAUAGUAUUAUUGAUAGUAUUGGUGAUAGUAUUGUUGAUAGUAGUGUUGAUAGUAGUGGUGAACAUAGUUCAUAUUCUGAAAGCAGAAGCACAGAUGAAUUAUUAUCAAGUGAUGAUGAAAAAAAUAUAAAUUGGGAUGAAUGUACAAAUUUCUUUUCAGAUCCUAGACGUUUAAAUGUGGCAUUAACAAGAGCUAAAUGUAAUUUAUUUAUUUUUGGUAAUAGUAAGUUUUUAAAACAGUGUGAUACUUGGGAUAAAAUUAUUAAUUAUUAUGAAAAUAAUAAUAAAACUAUAAAAAUUGCUGAAAAUGUAUUUAAUACUUGUAAAAAAAGGUUACCUGAAAAUGUUACUAAUGAUGACAUUUAUGGUUUUCAAAAAAAAAAAUAA
This 931-nucleotide long non-coding RNA is filed under the name Piliocolobus tephrosceles (Ugandan red Colobus). RNAcentral describes it as "lncRNA (ENSPTEG00000013005.1)". The record is from RNAcentral. Lineage: Eukaryota; Metazoa; Chordata; Mammalia; Primates; Cercopithecidae.